RNAcentral lists this ribosomal RNA (305 nucleotides) under uncultured bacterium. RNAcentral's name for it is "bacterial SSU rRNA". It matches the Rfam family "Bacterial small subunit ribosomal RNA", at positions 334 to 637 of the family's 1533-position model. The record is from RNAcentral.
AUGACCUACGGUGCGCAGCAGUGAGGAAUAUUGGUCCAUUUUCUGGAGCCUGAACCAGCCAAGCCGCGUGAGGGAAGAAGGUACAGCGUAUCGUAAACCUCUUUUGUCAGGGAACAAAGGCGGGGACUAGUCCCCGGAUGAGGGUACCUGAAGAAAAAGCAUCGGCUAACUCCGUGCCAGCAGCCGCGGUAAUACGGAGGAUGCGAGCGUUAUCCGGAUUUAUUGGGUUUAAAGGGUGCGCAGGCGGCCUGUUAAGUCAGCGGUAAAAGCCCGGGGCUCAACCCCGGCGAGCCGUUGAAACUGGG